RNAcentral lists this ribosomal RNA (329 nucleotides) under uncultured eukaryote. RNAcentral's name for it is "partial 18S ribosomal RNA". It matches the Rfam family "Eukaryotic small subunit ribosomal RNA", at positions 1470 to 1796 of the family's 1831-position model. The record is from RNAcentral.
CCCUUAGAUGUCCUGGGCCGCACGCGCGCUACACUGAGUGUCUGAGAUACGAGUCUGCCUGGUCCGGCAAGGUCUAGGUAAUCGCUAAAAGACACAUCAUGCUUGGGAUAGAUUAUUGCAAAUAUUAAUCUUGAACGAGGAAUUCCUAGUAAGCGCAAGUCAACAGCUUGCGUUGAUUACGUCCCUGCCCUUUGUACACACCGCCCGUCGCUACUACUGAUUGAAUGUUUAAGCGAGGUUCUCGAACUGCUAGCGACUUAGCUUCGGUGAGGUCGCAGUGUGGGAAGUGAACCUAGCUUUGGUGUCUAGAGGAAGUAAAAGUCGUAACA